This 342-nucleotide unclassified non-coding RNA is filed under the name uncultured fungus. Its description in RNAcentral is "sequence contains ITS1". The stretch from base 1 to 105 matches the Rfam family "5.8S ribosomal RNA", at positions 50 to 154 of the family's 154-position model. Lineage: Eukaryota; Fungi. The record is from RNAcentral.
GAAGUGCGAUAUCUAGUGUGAAUUGCAGAACGCCGUGAAUCAUCAAACUUUUGAACGCAGUGCGCCUGUUAGCUCUAGUUAACAGGCACGCCUGUUUGAGUGUCGGCAUUUAAUAUCUUCAAUUAUAACUUUAUAGUAAAAAUUGAAGGAAUUGAGAGUAUAACGCAAAGUUAUUCUCUUUAAAUUAAUUAGCAUUUCGGCAUUUAGCUAUUCAAAGUCAAUUAGCGUAGUCUUGGUCACUGCAAAUUUUCUGACUUUGAAUUUGCUAACUUUCGAGAGACUAUACGGCAUUUUAUUAUCAACUUCGACCUCAAAUCAGGCGAGAAAACCCGCUGGAUUUAA